Non-coding RNA from Equus caballus (horse), 1406 nucleotides. NCBI's taxonomy places the organism in Eukaryota, Metazoa, Chordata, Mammalia, Perissodactyla, Equidae. The record is from RefSeq and is a predicted model, not a curated record.
GCAAAACUAACCCUGCUCCCGGAGCGCCAUUGGCCCGGGGAGGUCUCGAGCUCAUUACUAUGCAAGGAGGGGAGCCGCCAUUGGCCAAGGAAACUGGAUCUCCUAAAUUGGAUGGCCUGAGAAGUAGAACUUGCCUCCAGCGUUCGGUUGAGUUUCAAAUGACUCUCCACUGUUCAAAGGGCGAGGGCUUUGGGAGCUGUGCAAACGGAAAAAAGAUUUGGAAGAGGAGGGAGAAAGUCUCCCUUAAUCUGACAUGAAUAUUUAGGUUUUUAGCUCUACGUUAGUUUAAAACAUCUUCUCCCACAAGCCUCCACUUCCCCUGAGAUCUGUAUACCUAUCUUGAUAGGCGCUUGGUAGUUAGGUCUUAGCAAUUAACCCUCCUGGUGACGGCAUUUCGGACUGCUUGCUCACAUACUUUAAAAUCCUAAAACACGGGAAUCUAGUAAGGGUCAAAGGGGUUGGUGUUUCUGAACACUGGACGAUUUCUCCAGACAACAAAACAUUUGAGUGCUAGGUGACUACCCUUGAGAAGCCGGCAGCGCCUUCGGUGUUAGGUAACUGUCAGCACUCCUUCCUCCUAUGGACUCUCGUGGCUUAACAAACCCCACAGAACCGUUCUUCGUACCAAACACUGCUUUACGGCCAGCUCCUUUCUUGCUUUCUACUAUGCCUUGUUUUACUCUAUAUUAGAGACAUUUUUCAAGAAUAUUUUAAGGCAGACAGGUUAAAAAUGUCCCUAUCAUUAAGUUGACUACUCCUGUCAUCUAAGCGAAAAUAAAGAAAAUGGAAACAAGUUGAAGCAGACGUAAGAAGUUUAACAUAAAACCUUUCUAUCUUCUUUGCAUUCAGGAGCUUAUCUUUAAAAAUAAUGUCCAGUUGGGCACAUGACUAACAUACAGUAAAUUUAUUUACAUGCUAGAGGAUCAGUAAAAACAGAUAUGCCUUGACUUCAAGUUUUGGGAAUGACGUAUUUCCUCUAAUUGCAGGUCUCAAAGAGAACUUUCAGAUGUAUGGACAACCCUCUGGCUUUGGAGAUAAGAAAUCUGAAGCUCUCAGACACUGCCCUCUGCCCAAGAUCAUCACAGAGCAACGCCUGGGCCCCUGGGUCCCUCGCUCUGGAGCCCCUGGAGCCUUCCUUGAAUUGGCUUCCUUCCACUGUCUAAAUAAUUUCCAUUAUUUCCUGGCAACUCUCAUGAGCAAGUGAAGUGAGGAAAAAUUGUAAAUUUGAUGUCUUUAAUUGGUUCCUUUGAGACCUCUCUUUCAGAACAACACUGAAAGAUGACAAUUUCUCUUGCCAAGAUAUCACUUUCUUCUGAUGUUUUUAAAUAACAAUUAUAUGUUAUAUUGAUUGAUUUUAUUUUGCCCAAAUAACUCAUUUCCUUUGUUAUAAAGUAGUGGUUUUUAAA